GUCGAACGGCAGCACAGAGGAGCUUGCUCCUUGGGUGGCGAGUGGCGGACGGGUGAGGAAUACAUCGGAAUCUACUCUGUCGUGGGGGAUAACGUAGGGAAACUUACGCUAAUACCGCAUACGACCUACGGGUGAAAGCAGGGGAUCUUCGGACCUUGCGCGAUUGAAUGAGCCGAUGUCGGAUUAGCUAGUUGGCGGGGUAAAGGCCCACCAAGGCGACGAUCCGUAGCUGGUCUGAGAGGAUGAUCAGCCACACUGGAACUGAGACACGGUCCAGACUCCUACGGGAGGCAGCAGUGGGGAAUAUUGGACAAUGGGCGCAAGCCUGAUCCAGCCAUACCGCGUGGGUGAAGAAGGCCUUCGGGUUGUAAAGCCCUUUUGUUGGGAAAGAAAUCCAGCUGGCUAAUACCCGGUUGGGAUGACGGUACCCAAAGAAUAAGCACCGGCUAACUUCGUGCCAGCAGCCGCGGUAAUACGAAGGGUGCAAGCGUUACUCGGAAUUACUGGGCGUAAAGCGUGCGUAGGUGGUCGUUUAAGUCCGUUGUGAAAGCCCUGGGCUCAACCUGGGAACUGCAGUGGAUACUGGACGACUAGAGUGUGGUAGAGGGUAGCGGAAUUCCUGGUGUAGCAGUGAAAUGCGUAGAGAUCAGGAGGAACAUCCAUGGCGAAGGCAGCUACCUGGACCAACACUGACACUGAGGCACGAAAGCGUGGGGAGCA
Molecule: ribosomal RNA, 720 nt
Filed under: uncultured Gammaproteobacteria bacterium
Lineage: Bacteria; Pseudomonadati; Pseudomonadota; Gammaproteobacteria
Description: bacterial SSU rRNA
Rfam family: Bacterial small subunit ribosomal RNA
Source: RNAcentral